UUUUAUUAAUUUUAGUUGAGAAAGUUUCUCUCUCCAAUCCUUCUCUCUUACUCCUACUGUAUUUAAUUAUAAAGUGAGUGCAUUUGUUUCUAAAUUUUUCUAGAACCUCUAUCACUUUCUUUCGUGGUUGUCUUUUCUUCUUCUUCUUCUCCUCCUCCUCCUUCUCCUCCUCCUACUUUUCCGCCUUUUUUGUUUGUUUGUUUUCUUCUUCUCUUUUUAUUCUAUAUAAGCAGAACUAAUCCCCCCUCACUCCUCAGAAAAUAUAGAGCUUUCUGAAGAAAGUUAUGGUACUUCUUAAAAUAAAUUUCCAGACAAGAAAAUACUAAUGGAAGAAGCUAAAUUUGUAAACAACGAUCUGGCUUAUUUUAAAGUCUUUUUAUUUGGGUUUUAUUGCUGGGAUUGGGAAUUCCUCACUGCCCUUUUGCUUUUUAGUUGCUCUAUCUAAAUCUUCUUCUUUUGGUUUUUUUUAACCGUCUCUAGAGUUUGGAAUCAUUAGUAUAGAGCUAGAAACAAUAUUUCUUUUUUAACUUUUACUUUGGGCUGGUAAAACUUUUGGUCUUCUGUGGGUGUGGGGAGAGAGAGGGGUAAGUAAAAUAAAAAUAUGUCGCAGAGAUCGGUGCCGGCGCCGUUUCUGAUGAAGACGUAUCAGCUGGUGGACGAUGGGAGCACGGACGACGUCGUUUCUUGGAACGAAAGUGGAGAAACAUUCAUCGUGUGGAAAACAGCUGAUUUUGCAAAGGACUUGCUACCUACUUAUUUCAAGCACAACAAUUUUUCCAGCUUCGUCCGUCAACUUAACACCUAUGUACGUAUUUUAAUCUUCCUUUGCAGUAACUUCUUUAUCAAAAAGUGGUAAAUUCGUUUUAGAAAAAUUCAACUUUAUAUACAUAUAGCAGCAGCUGCAUAACAUAAUUACCCUUCUAUUGGAAUUUUUUAUAUAUAAUUAUAUUCUUUCUUAAAAUAAAGAUAGUUAAAUUUUUUUAGUACCUGUUAAUUUUUUAUUUUUACAAAUAAAGGUUAAUUGCUACUAAUUAAUACCUUGUCAAGUUGUUAUAAGAUGCAAAGGUGCGUUGCCACGGGCUAGCUCAAGGUGUGAUUAUGAAUUAUGGGUUUUAAAUAAAUGUUAAUAUUAAUUAUUGAAAAGCUAGCGUUAUGAUAUUAAAAAACUAAUUUAAAUAUUAGUGUGGUAGAAUUAGUGUGUUAAUACUUUUGGCAUUAAUUGUUGGUAGAAUUAGUGUGGUAGAGCUUUAUUAAUUAGGGAAUUGAUAUUUUUGGGAAAAGAAGGUUAUACUUUUACAAGGUUUCUCACGUGAAUAUUAAUUGAGUCAACACACUAAUGCGAGACACCCUGUGAAUAUAUCAAAUUAUAUUUUUGAAAAAAUAACAAAUUAAUUUAUUUUCUCGUGUCUUAUAAAUUAAUUUUUUUAAACAAUCUCUUGAAUUUCAUUGUUUUAUAUAAAUUAAUACCUAUUUUAUUAGUUUAGAGUCUAGUCUGGACAAUAAGCAUAAACGGGAAUAGGGGGACGAGGCCAGGGGAACCUAGGAGAUGACUCAAUGAAAGAAACCCGAUUUAGGUGGUGGCUAAAAUGGUCUUUUUCAGUCUUAAGUUGGUGCAAAAACUAACCCAGUCCAGUCCUCCAGCUGUUUGGCAGGGGGUCCCGGUUAAAUCUAUGCGAGUAGGUGUCAUAAAUAGCUGCUGCAGAAUAAUCCUUGUCCNNNNNNNNNNNNNNNNNNNNNNNNNNNNNNNNNNNNNNNNNNNNNNNNNNNNNNNNNNNNNNNNNNNNNNNNNNNNNNNNNNNNNNNNNNNNNNNNNNNNAAUAGAAAGAAAAUGGUAGGUAUUAGGUGAGAAUUUGACUACUCCUCCUCCUCCUCUAGUUCUUUAAUUUCUUCAACAAAGUUGAACACCACGCGUCCAAAUUAUCCAAAUCCAACCCAUGGAAAUAUGUUCGAAUCUUCCUACCCAUAAACCCCAUUCAUAUUCACCCCUCCCCCUUUUUUUUUUUGGAAAGAAUGCUUCAAUGUUGACUUUUUAUUAAGCGGGAAAUUACCAAGUGAUGUCCCUCUACUUUAUUUCCCUACCUACAUUAGACUAGUUAAACAUCAUUCUAUGUAUUCAAAAUUUAAAUUUUAAAAGGAUGGUAUUGAUAUUUUAUUUUUAAUUUGAUUCAUUAAACAAAAUAUAGUUAUAUUAUUUAAUAUUUUUACUUUCACCUAAAAUGAUAAUGACCAUGUUCAAAUGUAAUUAAUUGAUAAUUUACUAAACUCAUGUAUUUUGUCACAAAAUUAAUAUUUUUACAAAAAAAAAUGAUAUUAAUUAGAACAAUAUUUUUAUUUCAUAAUUAAUAAGUGGGUCUUACAUUUACAUUUAUGUGAGAGAUUUUAAAAGAAUAUCAAUAUUUACUUAUAAAAUAACAACUCCCUUUUUAUUAAUAUAAUAUACAACUAUUAGUACAAACAUAAAUAUCACACCAUUUUAGUUUCAAAAUUAAAAUUAACAUAAUUUUUUUUANNNNNNNNNNNNNNNNNNNNNNNNNNNNNNNNNNNNNNNNNNNNNNNNNNNNNNNNNNNNNNNNNNNNNNNNNNNNNNNNNNNNNNNNNNNNNNNNNNNNUAGUUGCUCUAUCUAAAUCUUCUUCUUUUGGUUUUUUUUAACCGUCUCUAGAGUUUGGAAUCAUUAGUAUAGAGCUAGAAACAAUAUUUCUUUUUUAACUUUUACUUUGGGCUGGUAAAACUUUUGGUCUUCUGUGGGUGUGGGGAGAGAGAGGGGUAAGUAAAAUAAAAAUAUGUCGCAGAGAUCGGUGCCGGCGCCGUUUCUGAUGAAGACGUAUCAGCUGGUGGACGAUGGGAGCACGGACGACGUCGUUUCUUGGAACGAAAGUGGAGAAACAUUCAUCGUGUGGAAAACAGCUGAUUUUGCAAAGGACUUGCUACCUACUUAUUUCAAGCACAACAAUUUUUCCAGCUUCGUCCGUCAACUUAACACCUAUGUACGUAUUUUAAUCUUCCUUUGCAGUAACUUCUUUAUCAAAAAGUGGUAAAUUCGUUUUAGAAAAAUUCAACUUUAUAUACAUAUAGCAGCAGCUGCAUAACAUAAUUACCCUUCUAUUGGAAUUUUUUAUAUAUAAUUAUAUUCUUUCUUAAAAUAAAGAUAGUUAAAUUUUUUUAGUACCUGUUAAUUUUUUAUUUUUACAAAUAAAGGUUAAUUGCUACUAAUUAAUACCUUGUCAAGUUGUUAUAAGAUGCAAAGGUGCGUUGCCACGGGCUAGCUCAAGGUGUGAUUAUGAAUUAUGGGUUUUAAAUAAAUGUUAAUAUUAAUUAUUGAAAAGCUAGCGUUAUGAUAUUAAAAAACUAAUUUAAAUAUUAGUGUGGUAGAAUUAGUGUGUUAAUACUUUUGGCAUUAAUUGUUGGUAGAAUUAGUGUGGUAGAGCUUUAUUAAUUAGGGAAUUGAUAUUUUUGGGAAAAGAAGGUUAUACUUUUACAAGGUUUCUCACGUGAAUAUUAAUUGAGUCAACACACUAAUGCGAGACACCCUGUGAAUAUAUCAAAUUAUAUUUUUGAAAAAAUAACAAAUUAAUUUAUUUUCUCGUGUCUUAUAAAUUAAUUUUUUUAAACAAUCUCUUGAAUUUCAUUGUUUUAUAUAAAUUAAUACCUAUUUUAUUAGUUUAGAGUCUAGUCUGGACAAUAAGCAUAAACGGGAAUAGGGGGACGAGGCCAGGGGAACCUAGGAGAUGACUCAAUGAAAGAAACCCGAUUUAGGUGGUGGCUAAAAUGGUCUUUUUCAGUCUUAAGUUGGUGCAAAAACUAACCCAGUCCAGUCCUCCAGCUGUUUGGCAGGGGGUCCCGGUUAAAUCUAUGCGAGUAGGUGUCAUAAAUAGCUGCUGCAGAAUAAUCCUUGUCCAUUAUUUACCGUCAUUAGUUUGAAUUUGAGAGUAGCGUUACUAGCGUUGAUAAUUACUCCAUGACAAGCUAAUAGUGUAUGCGUGAAUGAGAAAGUCAAAUGAAAGGACAUGCUCAAAAAAAUAAAAAUAAUCCUUGUACUACGUUUUAAAUAAUUUUAUUUUUUUAAAUUAUUUGAUAUUUUAUUUAAUUUAGGAGAAUUAAUCACAAUCUUUUUAAAAUUAUUCAUUAUGAGAAAAGAUUAUAGAUGAUAGAGAAAGAGCUCUAUGAUAAAGAGUAUUAUAUAUAGAUAAUAAUUAAUAUUAUAUUUAAUGAUAUACAAUCAUUUCCUUAAUUAUUAUGUACAACUCUAAAACGACAUAUAUUGAGAGACGGAGAGUGCAUAUGCCGUUUUAAAAUUGUGCACAAGAAUUAAAAAAAUAAUUAUAUAACAUUAAAUAUAAUAUCAAUUGUCUAUAACUCUCUAAAUUUUGAUAAUUAUCAUACUUAUCUCAUACUCACCCUCACAUUUUUUUCAUAAGAGAUAAUUUGAAAAAAAUUAUAAUUUAUUUUUUAAAAUUAUAUAAUACGAUAAAUAAUUAAAAAAAAUAUAUCUAAAACAAUAAAACACGUAUUAAGUGACGAAUGGAGUACAAAAGCAUAUAUGUUGACAAAUCUGGCUAGGAAGUUAGUUGGAUGGGUAAAACUUUAAUCGAUACAAUAGAAUAAUACUAAAAUUGAGUGUGAUUUUUUGACUACGAUCUUCUCUAUUUUAAAUAAACGAAGAUUCUAUAUUUUACAGUCUAGAUUUAAAAUCAUGUCUCCGGUCAGCAGCAUGAUCUCAUAUUUUAACAUAUUUUAAAUUUGAAUCGUAAAAUGAGGAGUCUCUAUUUAUUUGAACAACAAUGAUACUAUCAUAUAAAAAAAAAUUGCACACAUACAUAUUGUGGGCUCCACCUGAUAUUAUGUGAUUUUUUUUAUGUGAUAGUAUCAUUAUUUUUAUUUGAAAUAGAGAGGAUACGUGUCUUUUUUUACAAGUCGGACAAAUGAUCGAGAGAUCAAAUAUUAAUAGUCGUGAUAUUAUUUCUCUUGAAAAACAAUACUUGUUCAGCUAAAUAGUAGGUGCUAAUAUGAGUCUACAUUGUUGAAAUUGAGGAUGUUCAACUUAAAAGUCAUCUAAAAAUAGUCUGGGUGUCUUAUAAUUCCAAUAUCUUUCAAAGUACUUCCAAUGGAGUAGUAAGAACUAAUGGCUGGUCAAUUUUGCAG
RNAcentral lists this long non-coding RNA (5140 nucleotides) under Panax ginseng (ginseng). RNAcentral describes it as "long non-coding RNA (PGIN_LNC008870)". Lineage: Eukaryota; Viridiplantae; Streptophyta; Magnoliopsida; Apiales; Araliaceae. The record is from RNAcentral.